Molecule: long non-coding RNA, 835 nt
Organism: Paramormyrops kingsleyae
Lineage: Eukaryota; Metazoa; Chordata; Actinopteri; Osteoglossiformes; Mormyridae
Source: RefSeq, a predicted model, not a curated record
CAAACAUUACGGGCAGCCCGAUUCCGCCUAAAUUACAUCCAGCUCCAUCGCCUUGGCCUUCCCCCACAUUCCCGAGGCAAGUAUGUCGCAUGAUGGUUUAGUGACAGGUGUUAAGAAUGUCAGUUUGAACACCACGGAUGUGAACAUCAACCCCAGAAGUUGUACCUGCCCGCAGUCUGACCCUUUGCUCAGUGGGAGAGUCGAAGUGGUCAUCUUAUUGCUGGUGUUCACUCUGGGGGUGGUUGGCAAUUUAGUUGUGCUGCUGGUGGUUGGCUGUCCACGCUACCAGAAAGGAUCGCUGGACAUUUACCUGUGGAACCUGGCCAUCAAUGACCUCGUGUCUGCCCUCUCUUUGGCCACCUGGGCCAUCGAGUCUCCUCCUGGAUUUUUGGAGACCUUGCCUGCAAAAUACUGUCAGCCCAGAGAGACCAGAGCAUGUAUACGGGGGUCUUGCUUCUGUUUAGUGUCUGCGUGCAAACGGCGACCACGGUGAACAGGCCCCUUCUGUGCGUGUUCGCCCUUGCUGUUUGGGGUCUUGCUCGCUCUUCCCGCUGUUCUUUUCAACAAGACGACCCAGCUCUUGGCUCAGCUGUCAGUCUGCCACCUUCAGGAGAGCAGAGUCCUGCGAUUUCCAUUCAGCCUGUUCAGAAACCUAUUUGGACUGGUUACUCCCUUGUUGUUGUUCAUCUUUGUUGGUGUGGCCUAUGACAGGUUGAGGAAAGCCGAAUUUAAGACGAAGAAGGAGAAGGUUCUUAUUCUGUCUUUGACACUGGCAUUUGCGGUAUUCCGGAGUCCCUGUUACGGAAGCAUGUUUAUAAAGGCAUUGCAAAGCUCA